RNAcentral lists this ribosomal RNA (787 nucleotides) under Extubocellulus spinifer. RNAcentral's name for it is "partial Bacterial large subunit ribosomal RNA". It matches the Rfam family "Bacterial large subunit ribosomal RNA", at positions 810 to 1699 of the family's 2925-position model. The record is from RNAcentral. Lineage: Eukaryota; Bacillariophyta; Thalassiosirophyceae; Cymatosirales; Cymatosiraceae.
UGUGGCUAGGGGUGAAAGGCCAAUCAAACUUGGAAAUAGCUGGUUCUCUGCGAAAUCUAUUUAGGUAGAGCGUCAAUCGAAUACUCCGGGGGGUAGAGCACUGGAUGGGCUAUGGGGUCCCAACGACUUACUGAUCCUAACCAAACUCCGAAUACCCGGAAGUAAUAAUUGGCAGACACACUGCGGGUGCUAACGUCCGUAGUGGAGAGGGCAACAACCCUGACCUCCAGUUAAGGUCCCCAAGUCAUGGCUAAGUGGGAAAGGAUGUGAGAAUCCCAAAACAACCAGGAUGUUGGCUUAGAAGCAGCCAUCAUUUAAAGAAAGCGUAACAGCUCACUGGUCUAAAUAAGGGUUCUUGCGCCGAAAAUGUAACGGGGCUAAAGCCAUGCACCGAAACUGAGGGCACUAUUUAUAGUGCGGUAGCAGAGCGUUCUGUAAGCCUGCGAAGGGAUACUCGUGAGAGAUCCUGGAGGUAUCAGAAGUGCAAAUGUUGACAUGAGUAACGAUAAAGAGGGUGAGAGACCCUCUCGCCGAAAGACCAAGGGUUCCUGCUUAAAGUUAAUCUGAGCAGGGUUAGCCGGCUCCUAAGGCGAGGCCGAAAGGCGUAGUCGAUGGGAAUGCAGUUAAUAUUCUGCAGCCUGGUGGUAGUGACGGAUCUCGUAAAUUGUACAUCCUUAUUGGAUUGGUUGUGCAGUGAAGAGGUUCCAGGAAAUAGCUCCACCAUAUAGACCGUACCCCAAACCGACACAGGUGGUCAGGUAGAGAAUACUAAGGCGCUUGAGAGAAC